GAGUCGUAACAAGGUUUCCGUAGGUGAACCUGCGGAAGGAUCAUUAAUGAGAUCAUGCCCUUCGGGGUAGACCUCCCACCCUCUGUAUACAAUACCUUUGUUGCUUUGGCGGCCCCGUCGCAAGACAACCGGCUCCGGCUGGUCAGCGGCCGCCAGAGGAAUCAAAACUCUUAUUAUUAAUUGUCGUCUGAGUACUAUAUAAUAGUUAAAA
RNAcentral lists this unclassified non-coding RNA (211 nucleotides) under plant metagenome. Its description in RNAcentral is "partial contains small subunit ribosomal RNA and internal transcribed spacer 1". The stretch from base 1 to 46 matches the Rfam family "Eukaryotic small subunit ribosomal RNA", at positions 1786 to 1831 of the family's 1831-position model. The record is from RNAcentral.